GAUGAACGCUGGCGGCGUGCCUAAUACAUGAAAGUCGAGCGAACGGACGAGAAGCUUGCUUCUCUGAUGUUAGCGGCGGACGGGUGAGUAACACAUGGAUAACCUACCUAUAAGACUGGGAUAACUUCGGGAAACCGGAGCUAAUACCGGAUAAUAUUUUGAACCGCAUGGUUCAAAAGUGAAAGACGGUCUUGCUGUCACUUAUAGAUGGAUCCGCGCUGCAUUAGCUAGUUGGUAAGGUAACGGCUUACCAAGGCAACGAUGCAUAGCCGACCUGAGAGGGUGAUCGGCCACACUGGAACUGAGACACGGUCCAGACUCCUACGGGAGGCAGCAGUAGGGAAUCUUCCGCAAUGGGCGAAAGCCUGACGGAGCAACGCCGCGUGAGUGAUGAAGGUCUUCGGAUCGUAAAACUCUGUUAUUAGGGAAGAACAUAUGUGUAAGUAACUGUGCACAUCUUGACGGUACCUAAUCAGAAAGCCACGGCUAACUACGUG
Molecule: ribosomal RNA, 497 nt
Filed under: uncultured bacterium
Lineage: Bacteria
Description: partial 16S ribosomal RNA
Rfam family: Bacterial small subunit ribosomal RNA
Source: RNAcentral